This 585-nucleotide ribosomal RNA is filed under the name Acinetobacter sp. RNAcentral's name for it is "bacterial SSU rRNA". It matches the Rfam family "Bacterial small subunit ribosomal RNA", at positions 350 to 926 of the family's 1533-position model. Lineage: Bacteria; Pseudomonadati; Pseudomonadota; Gammaproteobacteria; Moraxellales; Moraxellaceae. The record is from RNAcentral.
AGCAGUGGGGAUAUUGGACAAUGGGGGGAACCCUGAUCCAGCCAUGCCGCGUGUGUGAAGAAGGCCUUAUGGUUGUAAAGCACUUUAAGCGAGGAGGAGGCUACUUUAGUUAAUACCUAGAGAUAGUGGACGUUACUCGCAAAAUAAGCACCGGCUAACUCUGUGCCAGCAGCCGCGGUAAUACAGAGGGUGCGAGCGUUAAUCGGAUUUACUGGGCGUAAAGCGUGCGUAGGCGGCUUAUUAAGUCGGAUGUGAAAUCCCCGAGCUUAACUUGGGAAUUGCAUUCGAUACUGGUGAGCUAGAGUAUGGGAGAGGAUGGUAGAAUUCCAGGUGUAGCGGUGAAAUGCGUAGAGAUCUGGAGGAAUACCGAUGGCGAAGGCAGCCAUCUGGCCUAAUACUGACGCUGAGGUACGAAAGCAUGGGGAGCAAACAGGAUUAGAUACCCUGGUAGUCCAUGCCGUAAACGAUGUCUACUAGCCGUUGGGGCCUUUGAGGCUUUAGUGGCGCAGCUAACGCGAUAAGUAGACCGCCUGGGGAGUACGGUCGCAAGACUAAAACUCAAAUGAAUUGACGGGGGCCCGCCAC